RNAcentral lists this long non-coding RNA (328 nucleotides) under Sorghum bicolor (sorghum). RNAcentral describes it as "long non-coding RNA (SBIC_LNC013792)". The record is from RNAcentral. Lineage: Eukaryota; Viridiplantae; Streptophyta; Magnoliopsida; Poales; Poaceae.
AACUUUGACUCCUUAUUUUUAUAAAAAUAUUUAUCAAAAUGUGGUAUAUGUAUACUUUUAUGAAGAUAUUUUUCAUGAUAAAUCUAUUGAAAAAAGUCUACACAACCCUCCAAAACUAUCUAGGGUGGAAUACUUCAUCCCAAAUUAUAAAACCAGAUAUUCUACCCCCUGAACUUUCAAAACUGGUCAAAUAAUCUCUAGAGUGGUUUUAGAGUGUGGUUUUGUCUUUGUUUUUUUUAUUUAUUUAUGCUAAAUCUUUGAAAAACCAUAAUAAAUCACAAAAAAUCAUAAAAUAAAAAAAAAUAAUUUUGUUGGACUCCUGAUGAGU